Non-coding RNA from Acanthosepion pharaonis, 115 nucleotides. Lineage: Eukaryota; Metazoa; Mollusca; Cephalopoda; Sepiida; Sepiidae. The record is from the annotation of a GenBank genome assembly.
UAUGGUCAAAUCAUGCUGAAAACACCAGUUUUCAUUUGAUUACUGAAGUUAAGCAGUGUUGAGCCUGGUCAGUAAUUAAAUGGGGGUUCCGCUUGGGAACAUCAUGUACUGUAAG